This 155-nucleotide small RNA is filed under the name Proteus mirabilis. RNAcentral's name for it is "t44 RNA". The stretch from base 41 to 155 matches the Rfam family "t44 RNA". Rfam says of the family: This family consists of a number of bacterial RNA genes of between 135 and 170 bases in length. Lineage: Bacteria; Pseudomonadati; Pseudomonadota; Gammaproteobacteria; Enterobacterales; Morganellaceae. The record is from RNAcentral.
CACCAUGUGAGGUUUAAGAAAUAGCAGUAAAUCUGAAAACAUUCAAUUGUGUUAAUGACACACACAAAUCGACACAUACGCCGGGGUGCUCUUAUGUAAAGGUUUAAUCUUUACAGCUGAUGAGUCGGUCGUAUGGGAUUUGUGGAGGAAAUAAC